This 464-nucleotide long non-coding RNA is filed under the name Mytilus galloprovincialis (Mediterranean mussel). Lineage: Eukaryota; Metazoa; Mollusca; Bivalvia; Mytilida; Mytilidae. The record is from RNAcentral.
GCACAGAAAUGGACUAAGCAUUAGACAAAUCCGAUGAGAAUAACAAAUAUAACAUCAAAACCAAAUACAUGAAUUUGGGAUAGAAAAGUACCGUGAACGUUUAUAGUAAUGCGAAUUCACACUGAAAUAUAAGAGAAAACAACGGAAACACAACGUAAAAAUGUUACACACACAGAAACGAACUAUCAUAUAACAAUGGCCAUUUUUCUUACUUGGUACAGGACAUUUUUUAAGAAAAAAAUGGUGGGUUGAACCUGGUUUUGUGGCAUGCCCAACCUCACACUUUAAUGGCAAUGUUAAAUAUAACAUUAAAAUGACAACAUAAUAUUACAGGACUACAAUACAAAUAAAUAUGUGAACGUAGUAGGCAAAGAAACACAUGAAUAAUAGAUAACAAAAGGCAUCAGGUUUAAAAUUUAAUACGCCAAAAACGUUCCUCGUCACACAAGACUUACCAGUGACGC